RNAcentral lists this ribosomal RNA (1372 nucleotides) under uncultured bacterium. RNAcentral describes it as "bacterial SSU rRNA". It matches the Rfam family "Bacterial small subunit ribosomal RNA", at positions 28 to 1381 of the family's 1533-position model. The record is from RNAcentral.
GAUGAACGCUGGCGGCGUGCCUAAUACAUGCAAGUCGAGCGAACGGACGAGAAGCUUGCUUCUCUGAUGUUAGCGGCGGACGGGUGAGUAACACGUGGAUAACCUACCUAUAAGACUGGGAUAACUUCGGGAAACCGGAGCUAAUACCGGAUAAUAUUUUGAACCGCAUGGUUCAAAAGUGAAAGACGGUCUUGCUGUCACUUAUAGAUGGAUCCGCGCUGCAUUAGCUAGUUGGUAAGGUAACGGCUUACCAAGGCAACGAUGCAUAGCCGACCUGAGAGGGUAAUCGGCCACACUGGAACUGAGACACGGUCCAGACUCCUACGGGAGGCAGCAGUAGGGAAUCUUCCGCAAUGGGCGAAAGCCUGACGGAGCAACGCCGCGUGAGUGAUGAAGGUCUUCGGAUCGUAAAACUCUGUUAUUAGGGAAGAACAUAUGUGUAAGUAACUGUGCACAUCUUGACGGUACCUAAUCAGAAAGCCACGGCUAACUACGUGCCAGCAGCCGCGGUAAUACGUAGGUGGCAAGCGUUAUCCGGAAUUAUUGGACGUAAAGCGCGCGUAGGCGGUUUUUUAAGUCUGAUGUGAAAGCCCACGGCUCAACCGUGGAGGGUCAUUGGAAACUGGAAAACUUGAGUGCAGAAGAGGAAAGUGGAAUUCCAUGUGUAGCGGUGAAAUGCGCAGAGGUAUGGAGGAACACCAGUGGCGAAGGCGACUUUCUGGUCUGUAACUGACGCUGAUGUGCGAAAGCGUGGGGAUCAAACAGGAUUAGAUACCCUGGUAGUCCACGCCGUAAACGAUGAGUGCUAAGUGUUAGGGGGUUUCCGCCCCUUAGUGCUGCAGCUAACGCAUUAAGCACUCCGCCUGGGGAGUACGACCGCAAGGUUGAAACUCAAAGGAAUUGACGGGGACCCGCACAAGCGGUGGAGCAUGUGGUUUAAUUCGAAGCAACGCGAAGAACCUUACCAAAUCUUGACAUCCUUUGACAACUCUAGAGAUAGAGCCUUCCCCUUCGGGGGACAAAGUGACAGGUGGUGCAUGGUUGUCGUCAGCUCGUGUCGUGAGAUGUUGGGUUAAGUCCCGCAACGAGCGCAACCCUUAAGCUUAGUUGCCAUCAUUAAGUUGGGCACUCUAAGUUGACUGCCGGUGACAAACCGGAGGAAGGUGGGGAUGACGUCAAAUCAUCAUGCCCCUUAUGAUUUGGGCUACACACGUGCUACAAUGGACAAUACAAAGGGCAGCGAAACCGCGAGGUCAAGCAAAUCCCAUAAAGUUGUUCUCAGUUCGGAUUGUAGUCUGCAACUCGACUACAUGAAGCUGGAAUCGCUAGUAAUCGUAGAUCAGCAUGCUACGGUGAAUACGUUCCCGGGUCU